This 1897-nucleotide long non-coding RNA is filed under the name Oryza sativa Indica Group (long-grained rice). Its description in RNAcentral is "lncRNA OsZS97_04G003480". Lineage: Eukaryota; Viridiplantae; Streptophyta; Magnoliopsida; Poales; Poaceae. The record is from RNAcentral.
AUGCAGAAGAGGGGAGGUAAUCGAGACGUUUUGACGAGCGGGAAAUGGUGUUGGAAUACCCAUGGGUUAGCCCAAGGAGAGCCCAGCACUGUUCAUGCGGGCUGGAGUGGUCGGGCUUGUGGAAUCCGCCAUGGAUGGUCCAUGCGUGAUCUGCUCUCGAGCCCGAUCAAGGAGGUAAGUUUGCCUGCGAGCUGGGUGUGGGUGCCGAAACGGGGUUCUCUGAGUCCUCAUCUAGGGUUUCCAGCCACCAGACGAGAGGUCGUGUGCUUUAGGGCGACGGCGAGGCGGAUCUGGAGAGCUCCGGCGAGGCUCACUGACGGGAGGUCCUUCCUCGAGGUAGCGAAGGGAGGUGUGGAUCGUAAACCUCAAUUCCAACGUCCUGAUCAAUGGGUUCCCAAUAAGAGAAGAGCGUUCGAAGAGGAGGGGGGUGGUGGGAAUUGGGGAAAUCGAAAUUUGCAGGAGAGGGAGGAACGUGAACUUCGGAAUCGGUUGAUGGGGCAUCAACAACAGCGUGAGGAUGGAAGGUGGCAGGAAGUUGAGAGAAGGGGUUCUAAUUUAGGCAAACUAGCAGUAAAGCUAAAAGGUUAUGGCAUACCUGAGCAGGGUUUCUUUAGCCUGAAUGUCGACAAUUUGGGUGGGCACAAUUUAGAGGAUGCUAAUGUGAAGCAAAUUAGCAGUAAAGAUUGCUUGAUUGAUUUCCCGAGUGAAGAUGCUAGAAGGCAAGUCACUAAGUUCAGGGGGUUUGUGUUUAAGACUUCAUCCAUCAAAGCGAGUGUAAUAGAAUCUAAGAUGAUUGACAAUGUUGUGGAUGAGCUCUUUGUGAUCUGGGAAAUCAUUAGAGCAAUAUCUGACAUUGUGGGUGAAUUUAAAGAAGUAGAUGAGGAAUCUUUGAAGGGGGAAGGAGUUGUUAGGAUAAAAACUCAAUCUACCCCUCCAGCUGUUAAAAGAAACUCUGAAAACUUGCAAAAGGCCAUAAUUCUGCAGGUGGAGAAUGAGGUGGGGGUCACUGCUAAGGGUGAAGUUCUUAUUGAAGCAACUGCUGUGGAGAAAAAGGCAGACAAGGCAGUGGUGCUAUGGAAGUCUACAACCAGAACUGACAAGGAUAAAAGUGGUGACCUUCUAAAAAGAAUGGAUGUGGAUUUAAAAUUGGGGGGUGUUAGAUUAUUCACAGAUGAAGAGGGGGAGAAAUGUGCUAUCCCAACUGACUCAGAUAUUGAGUUGAUGAGGGCAGAGGAAGAGGAUGACAGUGAACAACUUGAUCUGGAAAGUGAAGCAGAGUUACAGAACAGGGAGGAUAAGUUCCAGAAAGUCAGGCACAAGAAAAAUCAAGUUAGUUUGGUCAAGAGACAGAGUUCUAGGGUGAAGGAUAAGGAGGUACCAGUUCAUCUAAAAGCUGAGCUUAGGAAGUCCAAAAUGAACAUGACCUCAGGUAUGUCAUCUAAAAAUUCUUAUGCAAUCUUUCAAUCUGUUAGUCAGGAUUAUCUUAUCAACAUUGCUAGGGCUGGGGGAAUUUCUUUGGGUGAUAAUUCUGAGGAAGAAUUGGCACAGGCUGCUAUUUUUGAUGUAGAUAAGAGGUUACAACAGAUGGCUGAAAAAGCAAGUUUGGAAGAAGAAGGGGGACAGGGGGUCCCCCCCCCCAAUGAGAAUAAUGCGAUUCUGGGGGUUCCUGUGGUAGAAAUGGAGAAUGAUCAGUAUAUGGAGGGUCUGAAGGAGGAAGAUAGGGAUGAGUUGGAUGAUGCGGAUAAAGAGAGUUCUGAUAACCUGGGGGAUUUUGACUUGCAUGACCAUGAGGGUCUGAGACAGAAGAAAAAGAAAGGGAAACAAUCUAUGCAAAAGGGGUCUGGGCCGAAAAAGAGGGGGCGUCCUAGAAAGAAGUCUAAAUCAUGAGAGUGGUGUU